Long non-coding RNA from Leptinotarsa decemlineata (Colorado potato beetle), 177 nucleotides. The record is from RefSeq and is a predicted model, not a curated record. NCBI's taxonomy places the organism in Eukaryota, Metazoa, Arthropoda, Insecta, Coleoptera, Chrysomelidae.
UUACAGAAUACGGACGAUCUUGUAAAGACAUAGGUUGCCCCAGUAAUCAAAAAUGUGUUAUGGAGACCGAUCCAUGCAGCUAUUACCAAAGACAAGGGGAAUGUGGAUCGUAUCCAACCUGUAAGAUGGACACACAUUCGGCUGCCAGAACUUGUGCGACUUACGUGUGUCCCCCUA